RNAcentral lists this non-coding RNA (132 nucleotides) under Thalassiosira minuscula. The record is from RNAcentral. Lineage: Eukaryota; Bacillariophyta; Thalassiosirophyceae; Thalassiosirales; Thalassiosiraceae.
CUUUUAUUGCUUCAAUUAUCUGCUCUUAAAAUUGAAGCGAACAGGAGCCUGCUUGUGGUACAAUAUACACCCACAUCAAUUGAAUAGAACAGAAAAAAAGGAAUAUUAAUUUUUUGGAAUGGCGUUCUUAUU